This 261-nucleotide ribosomal RNA is filed under the name uncultured Sphingomonadales bacterium. RNAcentral's name for it is "partial 16S ribosomal RNA". It matches the Rfam family "Bacterial small subunit ribosomal RNA", at positions 547 to 808 of the family's 1533-position model. Lineage: Bacteria; Pseudomonadati; Pseudomonadota; Alphaproteobacteria; Sphingomonadales. The record is from RNAcentral.
GGAAUUACUGGGCGCAAAGCGCACGUAGGCUUGAAUUGUAAGUUAGAGGUGAUAGCCUGGAGCUCAACUCCAGAAUUGCCUUUAAGACUGCAUCGCUUGAAUCCAGGAGAGGUGAGUGGAAUUCCGAGUGUAAGGUGAAAUUCGUAGAUAUUCGGAAGAACACCAGUGGCGAAGGCGUCUCACUGGACUGGUAUUGACGCUGAGGUGCGAAAGCGUGGGGAGCAAACAGGAUUAAUACCCUGGUAGUCAAGGGCGAAUUCG